CCAUUACCAUUACCAUUAACAGGAUUUAUAAUCAUAUUUUCCCCACCUUCUAUUUCUCUCUUCCAUCUUCUCUUUUGGUAUAUACAUGUAUAUAUACAUACAUACAAAUCAAAAGCUCCGUCGUCUUCUUCAGUGCUCCGGUCAGAUCCGGCGUCUUCUUCAGUGCUCACUUGCAGAGGCCUCAGUUUUUAGCGCAAUCAAUCUCUCCAUCGGAAAGCCUGCAAAUGGAGUAUCUAAACGACGAGUUCCAUUA
This 253-nucleotide long non-coding RNA is filed under the name Panax ginseng (ginseng). RNAcentral's name for it is "long non-coding RNA (PGIN_LNC006075)". Lineage: Eukaryota; Viridiplantae; Streptophyta; Magnoliopsida; Apiales; Araliaceae. The record is from RNAcentral.